This 496-nucleotide ribosomal RNA is filed under the name uncultured bacterium. RNAcentral describes it as "partial 16S ribosomal RNA". It matches the Rfam family "Bacterial small subunit ribosomal RNA", at positions 29 to 507 of the family's 1533-position model. The record is from RNAcentral.
AUGAACGCUGGCGGCGUGCCUAAUACAUGCACGUCGCGCGAACAGACGAGGAGCUUGCUCCUCUGAUGUUAGCGGCGGACGGGUGAGUAACACGUGGAUAACCUACCUAUAAGACUGGGAUAACUUCGGGAAACCGGAGCUAAUACCGGAUAACAUGUUGAACCGCAUGGUUCAACAGUGAAAGACGGUCUUGCUGUCACUUAUAGAUGGAUCCGCGCCGCAUUAGCUAGUUGGUAAGGUAACGGCUUACCAAGGCAACGAAGCGUAGCCGACCUGAGAGGGUGAUCGGCCACACUGGAACUGAGACACGGUCCAGACUCCUACGGGAGGCAGCAGUAGGGAAUCUUCCGCAAUGGGCGAAAGCCUGACGGAGCAACGCCGCGUGAGUGAAGAAGGUCUUCGGAUCGUAAAACUCUGUUAUUAGGGAAGAACAAAUGUGUAAGUAACUAUGCACGUCUUGACGGUACCUAAUCAGAAAGCCACGGCUAACUACGUG